CUUUCACCGAAUGCUUGCAUUCACCGAAAGAAGCUUAGUGGCGAACGGGUGAGUAACACGUAGGCAACCUGCCCAAAAGAGGGGGAUAACACUUGGAAACAGGUGCUAAUACCGCAUAACCAUGAACACCGCAUGAUGUUCAUGUAAAAGACGGCUUUUGCUGUCACUUUUGGAUGGGCCUGCGGCGUAUUAACUUGUUGGUGGGGUAACGGCCUACCAAGGUGAUGAUACGUAGCCGAACUGAGAGGUUGAUCGGCCACAUUGGGACUGAGACACGGCCCAAACUCCUACGGGAGGCAGCAGUAGGGAAUCUUCCACAAUGGACGAAAGUCUGAUGGAGCAACGCCGCGUGAAUGAAGAAGGCCUUCGGGUCGUAAAAUUCUGUUGUCAGAGAAGAACGUGCGUGAGAGUAACUGUUCACGUAUUGACGGUAUCUGACCAGAAAGCCACGGCUAACUACGUGCCAGCAGCCGCGGUAAUACGUAGGUGGCGAGCGUUGUCCGGAUUUAUUGGGCGUAAAGGGAACGCAGCGGUCUUUUAAGUCUGAUGUGAAAGCCUUCGGCUUAACCGAAGUAGUGCAUUGGAAAACUGGAAGACUUGAGUGCAGAAGAGGAGAGUGGAAACUCCAUGUGUAGCGGUGAAAUGCGUAGAUAUAUGGGAA
RNAcentral lists this ribosomal RNA (661 nucleotides) under uncultured bacterium. RNAcentral's name for it is "bacterial SSU rRNA". It matches the Rfam family "Bacterial small subunit ribosomal RNA", at positions 67 to 704 of the family's 1533-position model. The record is from RNAcentral.